UACGUAGGGGGCAAGCGUUGUCCGGAUUUAUUGGGCGUAAAGAGCGUGUAGGCGGUUUGGUAGGUCCGUUGUGAAAACUCGAGGCUCAACCUCGAGACGCCGAUGGAAACCAUCAGACUAGAGUCCGGAAGAGGAGAGUGGAAUUCCUGGUGUAGCGGUGAAAUGCGCAGAUAUUAGGAGGAACACCGGUGGCGAAGGCGCUGCUCUGGGCCGAAACUGACGCUGAGGAGCGAAAGCGUGGGUAGCAAACAGG
Molecule: ribosomal RNA, 253 nt
Filed under: uncultured bacterium
Lineage: Bacteria
Description: partial 16S ribosomal RNA
Rfam family: Bacterial small subunit ribosomal RNA
Source: RNAcentral